AGCGGGACAUUUGAGGAUGGGGUGACUGCGUACCUUUUGUAUAAUGGGUCAGCGACUUAUAUUCUGUAGCAAGGUUAACCGUAUAGGGGAGCCGUAGGGAAACCGAGUCUUAACUGGGCGAAUGAGUUGCAGGGUAUAGACCCGAAACCCGGUGAUCUAUCCAUGGGCAGGUUGAAGGUUGGGUAACACUAACUGGAGGACCGAACCGACUAAUGUUGAAAAAUUAGCGGAUGACUUGUGGAUGGGGGUGAAAGGCCAAUCAAACCGGGAGAUAGCUGGUUCUCCCCGAAAGCUAUUUAGGUAGCGCCUCGUGAACUCAUCUUCGGGGGUAGAGCACUGUUUCGACUAGGGGGUCAUCCCGACUUACCAACUCGAUGCAAACUGCGAAUACCGAAGAAUGUUAUCACGGGAGACACACGGCGGGUGCUAACGUCCGUCGUGAAGAGGGAAACAACCCAGACCGCCAGCUAAGGUCCCAAAGUCAUGGUUAAGUGGGAAACGAAGUGGGAAGGCUCAGACAGCCAGGAUGUUGGCUUAGAAGCAGCCAUCAUUUAAAGAAAGCGUAAUAGCUCACUGGUCGAGUCGGCCCGCGCGGAAGAUGUAACGGGGCUAAACCAUGCAC
Molecule: ribosomal RNA, 622 nt
Filed under: Proteus mirabilis
Lineage: Bacteria; Pseudomonadati; Pseudomonadota; Gammaproteobacteria; Enterobacterales; Morganellaceae
Description: partial 23S ribosomal RNA
Rfam family: Bacterial large subunit ribosomal RNA
Source: RNAcentral